AUUGAACGCUGGCGGCAUGCCUAACACAUGCAAGCCGAACGGCAGCACGGCAGUAGCAAUACUGUGGGUGGCGAGUGGCGGACGGGUGAGGAAUACGUCGGAAUCUGCCCAGUCGUGGGGGAUAACUAGCCGAAAGGUUAGCUAAUACCGCAUACGACCGAGAGGUGAAAGCGGGGGACCGCAAGGCCUCGCGCGAUUGGAUGAGCCGACGUCGGAUUAGCUAGUUGGUGGGUAAAGGCCCACCAAGGCGACGAUCCGUAGCUGGUCUGAGAGGAUGAUCAGCCACACUGGAACUGAGACACGGUCCAGACUCCUACGGGAGGUAGCAGUGGGGAAUAUUGGACAAUGGGCGCAAGCCUGAUCCAGCAAUGCCGCGUGUGUGAAGAAGGCCUCGGUUGUAAG
Molecule: ribosomal RNA, 402 nt
Filed under: uncultured bacterium
Lineage: Bacteria
Description: bacterial SSU rRNA
Rfam family: Bacterial small subunit ribosomal RNA
Source: RNAcentral